UAUACAAACUCAUUCCAGCAGCUGAUGUAAUACUCUAGGUUACUCUACCCUGUAUGAGCCCAUGAUGAGAAGGGAACGAAAACGUUUGAAAAUCUUCCAUUUAUUCUUCUAGACUGGUGUGGACAGCGCAUAGAUACAUGGCUAUUGUACCUUUCAGAAUUUCAUUUUCAAUUCAAUGUGACAGUGUCAUGCAUAGUCGGA
Molecule: long non-coding RNA, 201 nt
Organism: Sycon ciliatum
Lineage: Eukaryota; Metazoa; Porifera; Calcarea; Leucosolenida; Sycettidae
Exons: 2
Source: RefSeq, a predicted model, not a curated record